Molecule: ribosomal RNA, 253 nt
Filed under: uncultured bacterium
Lineage: Bacteria
Description: partial 16S ribosomal RNA
Rfam family: Bacterial small subunit ribosomal RNA
Source: RNAcentral
UACAGAGGUCUCAAGCGUUGUUCGGAUUCAUUGGGCGUAAAGGGUGCGUAGGCGGCGCGGUAAGUCGGGUGUGAAAUCUCGGAGCUUAACUCCGAGACUGCAUUCGAUACUGCCGUGCUUGAGGACUGGAGAGGAGACUGGAAUUUACGGUGUAGCGGUGAAAUGCGUAGAUAUCGUAAGGAAGACCAGUGGCGAAGGCGGGUCUCUGGACAGUUCCUGACGCUGAGGCACGAAGGUCAGGGGAGCAAACAGG